RNAcentral lists this ribosomal RNA (512 nucleotides) under uncultured bacterium. Its description in RNAcentral is "bacterial SSU rRNA". It matches the Rfam family "Bacterial small subunit ribosomal RNA", at positions 501 to 1009 of the family's 1533-position model. The record is from RNAcentral.
CUACGUGCCAGCAGCCGCGGUAAUACGUAGGGCGCGAGCGUUGUCCGGAAUUAUUGGGCGUAAAGAGCUUGUAGGCGAUUUGUCGCGUCUGCUGUGAAAGGCCGGGGCUUAACCCCGUGUAUUGCAGUGGGUACGGGCAGACUAGAGUGCAGUAGGGGAGACUGGAAUUCCUGGUGUAGCGGUGGAAUGCGCAGAUAUCAGGAGGAACACCGAUGGCGAAGGCAGGUCUCUGGGCUGUAACUGACGCUGAGAAGCGAAAGCAUGGGGAGCGAACAGGAUUGGAUACCCUGGUAGUCCACGCCGUAAACGAUGAGUGCUAGGUGUUAGACCCUUUCCGGGGUUUAGUGCCGCAGCUAACGCAUUAAGCACUCCGCCUGGGGAGUACGACCGCAAGGUUGAAACUCAAAGGAAUUGACGGGGGCCCGCACAAGCGGUGGAGCAUGUGGUUUAAUUCGAAGCAACGCGAAGAACCUUACCAGGUCUUGACAUCCCUCUGACCGCUCUAGAGAUAG